This 497-nucleotide ribosomal RNA is filed under the name uncultured bacterium. RNAcentral's name for it is "partial 16S ribosomal RNA". It matches the Rfam family "Bacterial small subunit ribosomal RNA", at positions 28 to 507 of the family's 1533-position model. The record is from RNAcentral.
GAUGAACGCUGGCGGCGUGCCUAAUACAUGCAAGUCGAGCGAACGGACGAGAAGCUUGCUUCUCUGAUGUUAGCGGCGGACGGGUGAGUAACACGUGGAUAACCUACCUAUAAGACUGGGAUAACUUCGGGAAACCGGAGCUAAUACCGGAUAAUAUUUUGAACCGCAUGGUUCAAAAGUGAAAGACGGUCUUGCUGUCACUUAUAGAUGGAUCCGCGCUGCAUUAGCUAGUUGGUAAGGUAACGGCUUACCAAGGCAACGAUGCAUAGCCGACCUGAGAGGGUGAUCGGCCAAACUGGAACUGAGACACGGUCCAGACUCCUAAGGGAGGCAGCAGUAGGGAAUCUUCCGCAAUGGGCGAAAGCCUGACGGAGCAACGCCGCGUGAGUGAUGAAGGUCUUCGGAUCGUAAAACUCUGUUAUUAGGGAAGAACAUAUGUGUAAGUAACUGUGCACAUCUUGACGGUACCUAAUCAGAAAGCCACGGCUAACUACGUG